RNAcentral lists this transfer RNA (74 nucleotides) under Nesterenkonia flava. RNAcentral describes it as "tRNA-Pro". It matches the Rfam family "tRNA". Rfam says of the family: Transfer RNA (tRNA) molecules are approximately 80 nucleotides in length. Their secondary structure includes four short double-helical elements and three loops (D, anti-codon, and T loops). The record is from RNAcentral. Lineage: Bacteria; Bacillati; Actinomycetota; Actinomycetes; Micrococcales; Micrococcaceae.
CGGGGUGUAGUUCAGUUUGGUAGAGCGCCUGCUUUGGGAGCAGGAGGUCGCAGGUUCAAAUCCUGUCACCCCGA